UACGGGGGGGGCAAGCGUUGUUCGGAAUUACUGGGCGUAAAGGGCUCGUAGGCGGCCAACUAAGUCCGACGUGAAAUCCCCAGGCUUAACCUGGGAACUGCGUCGGAUACUGGUUGGCUUGAAUUCGGGAGAGGGAUGUGGAAUUCCAGGUGUAGCGGUGAAAUGCGUAGAUAUCUGCAGGAACACCCGUGGCGAAAGCGGCGCGCUGGACCACUACUGACGCUGAGGAACGAAAGCUAGGGGAGCAAACAGG
This 253-nucleotide ribosomal RNA is filed under the name uncultured bacterium. Its description in RNAcentral is "partial 16S ribosomal RNA". It matches the Rfam family "Bacterial small subunit ribosomal RNA", at positions 524 to 776 of the family's 1533-position model. The record is from RNAcentral.